Pangasianodon hypophthalmus (striped catfish) is the source of this 1266-nucleotide long non-coding RNA. RefSeq lists it as uncharacterized. The record is from RefSeq and is a predicted model, not a curated record. The transcript is spliced from 2 exons. Lineage: Eukaryota; Metazoa; Chordata; Actinopteri; Siluriformes; Pangasiidae.
GUCAAGAAAAUUCAGAACUAGAACUAAACAGUGUGGUGGUUAAACUUCUCCUGAUCUCUACCAUAUAGUGUUUAAACUUCUGAACUCUACAGCGUGGUAUUUAAACUUCUCCUGAUCUCUACAUUCUGGUGUUUAAACUUCUCCUGACCUCUAUGGUGUGGUGUUUAAAUUUAUCCUGACCUCUACGCUAUGGGCUCAGACAUGCUGACUGAAAUAUUUUUAAUUUUGCCAGACUGCGUCGCUGAUCGUUCUAAACACUACAGAAAUGACAUUUAGCAGGAGAAUUAACACUGCUGAAUUUUAUCAAUCUCUCACCGUGUCAUCAUCAAACCCAGCCAGUCGGAUGAUCUUCUCGGCCACACGUGCAUUCCUCUCAUCCAUCUCCACCGAGUAGAGCCGAGCACCGAGAGGCAGUGAGCGAGCGAUUCUCACUGUGGUGUAGCCGCAGUGAGUCCCCAGUUCUAACACCGUCAGAGGACAAAGCUCCUUCAGCAGACGGUCCAGAAUCAAACCUGAGACAUUGCAAGAAGUUUACUCCAACUUUACACUGUGUGUGUAAUCUAUACCUUUUUUAGGUCAUAUAGGGCUGAUGAACUCGAUUGUGUGUGUGAGAUCUAUACCUUUUUUAGGUCCUAUAUGGCUGAUGAACUCGACAUUGCUGCACCAGAGGUCAAAGGUAUCGAGGAUGCUGUCAGGAUCUCCUGGUGUGGCGUGUGUGAGGACAUACUGGUACACUCUCUCCUCCCUGCUGAUGCCUGUCAUAAAGUCCUGAACCCAGCGGAGCAGCACGGCCCGAUAGAACAGCACGAAGUAGAACCGGUACCGGAUGAUCAGCGUGAGCAACAACGGCACGAAGGCCAGAGCAAUGGCUGCAGACACCAUUUCCCACAAUGCACUGCUGCAGUUUAAUAUCAAGAGAUGUUCACAUUCUUCUUCACAUGUGUUACAGCAAAUAGCAUGAGUAGUUAGCACUUGCAAGAAAAGGUUGUCCCCCCCCUUCUCAUCCUCCAUGACAAUAAUGACAUCAUGAAAUAUUAUUUAUUAUUUAGUGAACCUGCAGCUCACUAUCUCCACACACACAAAACACAACACAUACCUUAUUGUAAAACCUCUAGGCUCCGGCUGUUUCUUUCUCUAAACACACUUAAGUGAAAUCAUUCUAAAUCAUUUGAUUGGCUGAGAUAUUUUUCUCUAUUUAUUUUGACUGGAUGCUGACAUUUCAUGUGUAAAAAAUGCUAGCAUGCUAAUAAAGGAAGAUUCCUCAGA